This 219-nucleotide unclassified non-coding RNA is filed under the name Ascomycota sp. RNAcentral describes it as "partial contains small subunit ribosomal RNA, internal transcribed spacer 1, and 5.8S ribosomal RNA". The stretch from base 1 to 47 matches the Rfam family "Eukaryotic small subunit ribosomal RNA", at positions 1785 to 1831 of the family's 1831-position model. Lineage: Eukaryota; Fungi; Ascomycota. The record is from RNAcentral.
AAAGUCGUAACAAGGUCUCCGUUGGUGAACCAGCGGAGGGAUCAUUACCGAGUUUACACUCAUAACCCUUUGUGAACAUUAUAACUUGUUGCUUCGGCGGCUCCUGUCCCUCGGGGCGGAGGCCCGCCGGCGUUUCAGUAUCUCUGUUUGUACCCGACGAUACAUCUGAGUGUUCUUAGCGAACUAUAAAAACUUUUAACAACGGAUCUCUUGGUUCUA